AGCUCUUAUGAGUUAGCGGCGGACGGGUGAGUAACACGUGGGUAACCUGCCCAUAAGACUGGGAUAACUCCGGGAAACCGGGGCUAAUACCGGAUAACAUUUUGAACCGCAUGGUUCGAAAUUGAAAGGCGGCUUCGGCUGUCACUUAUGGAUGGACCCGCGUCGCAUUAGCUAGUUGGUGAGGUAACGGCUCACCAAGGCAACGAUGCGUAGCCGACCUGAGAGGGUGAUCGGCCACACUGGGACUGAGACACGGCCCAGACUCCUACGGGAGGCAGCAGUAGGGAAUCUUCCGCAAUGGACGAAAGUCUGACGGAGCAACGCCGCGUGAGUGAUGAAGGCUUUCGGGUCGUAAAACUCUGUUGUUAGGGAAGAACAAGUGCUAGUUGAAUAAGCUGGCACCUUGACGGUACCUAACCAGAAAGCCACGGCUAACUACGUGCCAGCAGCCGCGGUAAUACGUAGGUGGCAAGCGUUAUCCGGAAUUAUUGGGCGUAAAGCGCGCGCAGGUGGUUUCUUAAGUCUGAUGUGAAAGCCCACGGCUCAACCGUGGAGGGUCAUUGGAAACUGGGAGACUUGAGUGCAGAAGAGGAAAGUGGAAUUCCAUGUGUAGCGGUGAAAUGCGUAGAGAUAUGGAGGAACACCAGUGGCGAAGGCGACUUUCUGGUCUGUAACUGACACUGAGGCGCGCAAGCGUGGGGAGCACACAGGAUUAGAUACCCUGGUAGUCCACGCCGUAAACGAUGAGUGC
Molecule: ribosomal RNA, 751 nt
Filed under: Bacillus sp. (in: firmicutes)
Lineage: Bacteria; Bacillati; Bacillota; Bacilli; Caryophanales; Bacillaceae
Description: bacterial SSU rRNA
Rfam family: Bacterial small subunit ribosomal RNA
Source: RNAcentral